This 482-nucleotide ribosomal RNA is filed under the name uncultured bacterium. RNAcentral describes it as "partial 16S ribosomal RNA". It matches the Rfam family "Bacterial small subunit ribosomal RNA", at positions 30 to 507 of the family's 1533-position model. The record is from RNAcentral.
AUUGAACGCUGGCGGCAUGCCUUACACAUGCAAGUCGAACGGUAACAGGUCACCGCUUGCUGACUCGCGGCGGACGGGCGGAUAAUGCAGCGGUGUGUGCCCAGCCGCCGGGGGUAACUGGUUGACUGCGCAAAACGUACCGCAUACGAGCUGAGCGUGACAGCGGGGGACCGUAGGGCCUCCCGCCAUCUUGCCGUCGGAUGUCGGAUUAGCUAGUAGGUGGGGUAAAGGCCUACCUAGGCGACGAUCUGUAGUUGGUCUGAGAGAAUGACCAGCCACACUGGGACUGAGACACGGCCCAGACUCCUACGGGAGGCAGCAGUGGGGAAUUUUGGACAAUGGGCGCAAGCCUGAUGCAGCAAUGCCGCGUGUAUGAAGAAGGCCUUCGGGUUGUAAAGUGCUUUUGGCAGGGAGGAAAGCUGCUGGGCUAAUACCUCGAGAGGAUGACGGUACCUGAAGAAGAAGCACCGGCUAACUACGUG